AUGGCGUUCACCGACGAUUAUAAGGGCGACAAGGCCGUGGAGGCCCACGGCAACACCAAGUUGCACGUCAUCCACACCAACGACAAGAAGCAGAUGGCAAUCUCCCUCGCGCAGUACGAGCGGCACCUCAGCCUCCAGGGCCACAAGAUCGUCGACAUUGAUCUCGAGUACAACAACGAGCCUGAAGUGACGCAGAAACCCGCCCUCUGCCAGCUCUCGAUCGGCAAGAAUCACCCGGUGCUGCUCUUCCAAAUGAGCGCCACUGAAAGGUGCACCGUCUUUGACAACUUCCUCGCCGACCCCAGGUACACCUUUGCAGGCUUCUCCAUCGACGGCGACAAAACCAGGCUACAGCGCGUCAAUCUGGAGAAGAACAUCACCAACAACGAGCACAGGUGCUGGGCCACCCUGCCUCUGUCCAUGAGGCACAUCGAGUACGCGUCAAAGGACGCCUACGCAGCAACAAACACGAGAGAGCAGAGGAGAGUCAUGGCGGAGGCACUUCUGUACAAGCAGCACCGCACGUACACCAGGGAGCUCCACGACGUCCACCUCCACGGCAACCACAAGCUCCACGUCAUUUGCACAAGCAAGGGUAAAGGCAUGGACAAGAUGCUGUCCACGUUUAGGAGUAAGCUCGACGGAAUGCCCGUCAAACUAGUCGGCGUUGAUGUCGAGUACACGCACUACGUGAAGCCACAGCGGGCAGCAGUGCUCCAGCUAUGCGUAGAGAAAGAAUGCCUUGCCUACCACAUCUCUGCAGCUAAAGAUAGGCCAAUGGAACUAGACAAAUUCCUCAUGAAUGGUGAGUACACCUUCGUCGGAUUCGCUAUUGAAGGAGACAAAAGCAAGCUGAAGGUAUCUGGUUUGGAGAUCAAUUCCGACAACUCCAUUGAUAUUCAGGUGGAAUGGAGAGACCCAUAG
This 924-nucleotide ribosomal RNA is filed under the name Triticum aestivum (bread wheat). Its description in RNAcentral is "partial small subunit ribosomal RNA". Lineage: Eukaryota; Viridiplantae; Streptophyta; Magnoliopsida; Poales; Poaceae. The record is from RNAcentral.